GAUCCUCAUGUUUUAGCCUUUUAUUCAGCAAGUAUCUGAUGAGUGUCUUCAAUGUUCCAGGCACCAUGCUGGUCUGUGGGAGGACACUUGGGGGAAGAAGAUGAGCAAGGCAGCUGGUCUUGUGCAGCAAAUCAGAAGAUGUGUCUUCUGGGACCUGGUGCAGAACAGAUGCCAGUGAGCUGCUUGAGGAGAGAAGGAAGGGUUUUCAUCUUCAGCCUCACUUCUGCAGUCACAUGCUUGGGUAUGGCACUUUCUUUCCUUGCCCACUGUUAAUCAGCAGCCUCAAAGCCUGUUGUGCCUCUUAUCACCUUCUACCA
Molecule: long non-coding RNA, 317 nt
Filed under: Fukomys damarensis (Damara mole-rat)
Lineage: Eukaryota; Metazoa; Chordata; Mammalia; Rodentia; Bathyergidae
Description: lncRNA (ENSFDAG00000032703.1)
Source: RNAcentral